GACGAACGCUGGCGGCGUGCUUAACACAUGCAAGUCGAACGGAAAGGCCCUGCUUUUGUGGGGUGCUCGAGUGGCGAACGGGUGAGUAACACGUGAGUAACCUGCCCUUGACUUUGGGAUAACUUCAGGAAACUGGGGCUAAUACCGGAUAGGAGCUCCUGCUGCAUGGUGGGGGUUGGAAAGUUUCGGCGGUUGGGGAUGGACUCGCGGCUUAUCAGCUUGUUGGUGGGGUAGUGGCUUACCAAGGCUUUGACGGGUAGCCGGCCUGAGAGGGUGACCGGCAAAAUGGGGACUGGGAUACGGCCCAGAACACUACGGGAGGAAGGAGGGGGGAAAAUCGAACAAGGGGCGGAAGCCGGAUGCAGAAACGCCGGGGGGGGGAUGACGGCCUUCGGGUUGAAAACCGCUUUCGCCGGGGACGAAGGGGGGGGGAGGGUAAGGGGUAAAAAAGCAACGGCUAACUACGU
RNAcentral lists this ribosomal RNA (467 nucleotides) under uncultured bacterium. RNAcentral describes it as "partial 16S ribosomal RNA". It matches the Rfam family "Bacterial small subunit ribosomal RNA", at positions 28 to 506 of the family's 1533-position model. The record is from RNAcentral.